GCCGAUCAGUGUUUUUAGUUGCAUUUUGAAGGAGGUUUUAUGAGUUUUUUUUUUUACCUCAUCCAAAACACAAAAGAAAGCAAUUGAUUAUAUUAAAUAUGAAAUCCAAUCUUUUCUUCAUUUUUCUCAUUUUCGCCCAAACAAUAGAUGCAGUUUCAGAGGAUGGAGUGAAGGAUAAGAUGGUGGUGGCGAAGACGGUGCUGCAAGGGUCGGUGCCACCGAGCUGCGUGGGGCGGUGCGGCGGAUGCACGCCGUGCGAGAGGGUUGCUGAGGAAGCGGCGCCGGGGGAUUUCAUCUGGAAGUGCGUAUGCAAGAGGCUUAAUUUGAUUGAGAAGACCCCUUGGUUAUGCUUUCAUUGAUUUUGAUUCGUUUCUUGUAUCAAAAUUGAAUCUUGCUGUGCUUGAAAGAGGAAGCCUGGGAGAAAGUAGACAUCACUGAGGUCACCAUGCAAGAAUUUGAUUUUCUCUUGGGCGAAUAGCAUUACGAGAGAAAAAGAAAAACACGCCUCAAUAGAAUUAAGAUAAAGUGUUGGAUUUGUAUAUCAUUUGUGUUUGUUCAAAAAAUUUGUAUUAUUAUACGACAUCUUAUAGUGACAUAUUCAUUUAAUAUAAAUAGUGGAUUGUUUUAAAUUAUUGUAGAUUUGUAUAA
This is an RNA transcript of Salvia miltiorrhiza (redroot sage), 648 nucleotides long. RefSeq lists it as uncharacterized. Lineage: Eukaryota; Viridiplantae; Streptophyta; Magnoliopsida; Lamiales; Lamiaceae. The record is from RefSeq and is a predicted model, not a curated record. The transcript has 3 exons.